GUACUGACGAAGAGUCACAAAAUAGGACGAAACAGCUGUCCAGUAC
This 46-nucleotide non-coding RNA is filed under the name Trichobilharzia regenti. Lineage: Eukaryota; Metazoa; Platyhelminthes; Trematoda; Strigeidida; Schistosomatidae. The record is from RNAcentral.